Molecule: transfer RNA, 74 nt
Filed under: bacterium
Lineage: Bacteria
Also listed under: 2 other names
Description: tRNA-Ile
Rfam family: tRNA
About the family: Transfer RNA (tRNA) molecules are approximately 80 nucleotides in length. Their secondary structure includes four short double-helical elements and three loops (D, anti-codon, and T loops).
Source: RNAcentral
GGGCCUAUAGCUCAGUUGGUUAGAGUAGCGGACUCAUAAUCCGUUGGUCCCUGGUUCGAGCCCAGGUGGGCCCA